RNAcentral lists this unclassified non-coding RNA (18 nucleotides) under Mus musculus (house mouse). RNAcentral's name for it is "oocyte_clustered_small_RNA13911". Lineage: Eukaryota; Metazoa; Chordata; Mammalia; Rodentia; Muridae. The record is from RNAcentral.
UGCGGGAGGCGUCACAAG